AAAAACCGAAAUUUCGAUUUUUCUCAAAAACUAUAAUUUUUUCAAUUUUGAUAAUUAUGUGCAAGGUGCCCCUUUGCGAGAAGUACUUGGCAGUUUUUAAAUGAAAGCUCUAUCUUUAAUAACAAAAAAGUUAUGCAAAAUUUUCGAUCUAAAAAAGUACAUGUUAAUCGUAAAAAACCGAAAUUUCGAUUUUUCUCAAAAACUAUAAUUUUUUCAAUUUUGAUAAUUAUGUGCAAGGUGCCCCUUUACGAGGAGUACCUGGCAGUUUUUAAAUGAAAGCUCUAUCUUAAUAACAAAAAAGUUAUGCAAAAUUUUCGAUCUAAAAAAGUACAUGUUAAUCGUAAAAAACCUAAAUUUCGAUUUUUCUCAAAAACUAUAAUUUUUUUAAUUUUGAUAAUUAUGUGCAAGGUGCCCCUUUGCGAGGAGUACUUGGCAGUUUUUAAAUGAAAGCUCUAUCUUUAAUAACAAAAAAGUUAUGCAAAAUUUUCGAUCUAAAAAAGUACAUGUUAAUUGUAAAAAACCGAAAUUUCGAUUUUUCUCAAAAACUAUAAUUUUUUCAAUUUUGAUAAUUACGCGAAAAGUGCCCCUUCGCUAGGAGUACUUAACAGUUUUUAAAUGAAAGCUCUAUCUGUAAUAACAAAAAAGUUAUGCAAAAUUUUCGAUCUAAAAAAGUACAUGUUAAUUGUAAAAAACCGAAAUUUCGAUUUUUCUCAAAAACUAUAAUUUUUUCAAUUUUGAUAAUUAUGUGCAAGGUGCCCCUUCGCUAGGAGUACUUGACUGUUUUUAAAUGAAAGCUCUAUCUUUAAUAACAAAAAAGUAAUGCAAAAUUUUCGAUCUAAAAAAGUACAUGUUAAUUGUAAAAAACCGAAAUUUCGAUUUUUCUCAAAAACUAUAAUUUUUUCAAUUUUAAUAAUUAUGUGCAAGGUGCCCCUUCGCUAGGACUACUUGACUGUUUUUAAAUGAAAGCUCUAUCUUUAAUAACAAAAAAGUUAUGCAAAAUUUUCGAUCUAAAAAAGUACAUGUUAAUUGUAAAAAACCGAAAUUUCGAUUUUUCUCAAAAACUAUAAUUUUUUUAAUUUUGAUAAUUAUGUGCAAGGUGCCCCUUUGCGAGGAGUACUUGGCAGUUUUUAAAUGAAAGCUCUAUCUUUAAUAACAAAAAAGUUAUGCAAAAUUUUCGAUCUAAAAAUGUACAUGUUAAUCGUAAAAAACCUAAAUUUCGAUUUUUCUCAAAAACUAUAAUUUUUUCAAUUUUGAUAAUUAUGUGCAAGGUGCCCCUUUACGAGGAGUACUUGGCAGUUUUUAAAUGAAAGCUCUAUCUUUAAUAACAAAAAAGUUAUGCAAAAUUUUCGAUCUAAAAAAGUACAUGUUAAUUGUAAAAAACCGAAAUUUUGAUUUUUCUCAAAAACUAUAAUUUUUUCUAUUUUGAUAAUUACGCGAAAGGUGCCCCUUCGCUAGGAGUACUUAACAGUUUUUAAAUGAAAGCUCUAUCUGUAAUAACAAAAAAGUUAUGCAAAAUUUUCGAUCUAAAAAAGAACAUGUUAAUUGUAAAAAACCGAAAUUUCGAUUUUUCUCAAA
This 1575-nucleotide long non-coding RNA is filed under the name Anthonomus grandis grandis. RNAcentral describes it as "uncharacterized LOC126749731". Lineage: Eukaryota; Metazoa; Arthropoda; Insecta; Coleoptera; Curculionidae. The record is from RNAcentral.